UUGAACGCUGGCGGCAGGCCUAACACAUGCAAGUCGAGCGCGAAAGGUUUUCGGACUGAGUAAAGCGGCGGACGGGUGAGUAACGCGUGGGAAUCUGCCCAGUAGUGGGGGACAACAGCCGGAAACGGCUGCUAAUACCGCAUACGCCCUACGGGGGAAAGGGGGGGAUCUUCGGACCUCUCGCUAUUGGAUGAGCCCGCGUCGGAUUAGCUAGUUGGUAGGGUAAAGGCCUACCAAGGCUACGAUCCGUAACUGGUCUGAGAGGAUGAUCAGUCACACUGGAACUGAGACACGGUCCAGACUCCUACGGGAGGCAGCAGUGGGGAAUAUUGGACAAUGGGGGCAACCCUGAUCCAGCCAUGCCGCGUGUGUGAAGAAGGCCUUAGGGUUGUAAAGCACUUUCAGUGGGGAGAAAGGUUUGUCACCUAAUACGUGAUGAAAUUGAUGUUACCCACAGAAGAAGCACCGGCUAACUCCGUGCCAGCCGCCGCAGUAA
RNAcentral lists this ribosomal RNA (496 nucleotides) under uncultured bacterium. RNAcentral's name for it is "partial 16S ribosomal RNA". It matches the Rfam family "Bacterial small subunit ribosomal RNA", at positions 30 to 523 of the family's 1533-position model. The record is from RNAcentral.